This is a non-coding RNA of Drosophila melanogaster (fruit fly), 973 nucleotides long. NCBI's taxonomy places the organism in Eukaryota, Metazoa, Arthropoda, Insecta, Diptera, Drosophilidae. The record is from Ensembl.
AGCAGCAACAAUUAAUCUGUGUAGAACACAAAUUUAUAUUCAAAAUUAUUAUUGAAUCAUACUUCAAGGUGUUUGGCCCAAGGCCAUGGGCACUGGGGCACCUCCGCCCACCUUUCAGUUUCUAACGACCUUCGGCUGAUGCGAUAACCAGUUAAAACCCCUAAAGGCAGCCACCAGAAAGCUGUCCAUCAGGAGAGCAGUGGCUGUGCAGCGGUGUCCAUCAGUAAACGUAAACGGGGGAGAGCUUAAAGCAAAUACGAAUUCGGAGGAGGUUAUCCGACACCAGAGUUUUUCAAAACUCCGUGCGGCAGUUGGUCAGAAAUCUCUCGAGGGUAUUUCACUUAGCCUGGUGGCCAGAAAUCCGGUUUCAGCAGUGUCCGUAUUUGUUUAUAGACAAAUGGCGACUGCGUGCUUAUAUGGCCGCACGUAUUUGCAGAGCAUUUAUUAAUAUUUGACGAAUGAUAACAUUUAAAACCAUCGACACCCGAGGGAGUCCGGAAUUUAUUCGAUUUUCUGCUCGAACGAAAUUAACAAUAUUUGCAUAGCAUUUGUUGCGCCGCAUAUUUGCAAUUUGUUUAAGCCAGACCAAAAUAGAUGCAGAUAUACAAUAUAUAUAGAAUUACGAACAAUUCUCGGACAAUCGAGCUUAAAUCAAUCAAGUAUCGAGUUCAAAUUCCGGCAGAGAGCAAUUAAAGUGAAACAGGAGCGGACACUAAAUGGCUUUUGUGGCGCGGCAAAUAUUCGGAUCUUUAAGGUCCCUCGGGGGCGAAGUGAGUUAUGUGGGGAUUUUCACAUGUCGCCUUCGCAUUAAAUUGCAAUUAAACUGACCAGAAAAUGUUGUGAUAAUUGCGUUGCUGCCUGAAAUUAAUAGCCAUCAUUUGGCGAAAGUCCCGACCCCAAACCCUCGAACUUGGCGACUUCUGCCUCCUCCCCCCCCCCCCCCCCCGUGGACCGUAAAUGUAAAUUCCAUUUU